Small nuclear RNA from Erinaceus europaeus (western European hedgehog), 107 nucleotides. The record is from Ensembl. NCBI's taxonomy places the organism in Eukaryota, Metazoa, Chordata, Mammalia, Eulipotyphla, Erinaceidae.
GCACUCGCUUCGGCAGCACAUACACUAAAAUUGGAACAACAGAGAGAAGAUUAGCAUGGCCCCUGCACAAGGAUGACACACAAAUUCGUGAAGCAUUCCAUAUUUUU